UAGUUUGGGACUGCAAGUCUAUAAUGCAUGCACUGACCACUCAGGAGGGAGGAAGAAGAUGGAAAAAAGCACUGAAUUACUUGUAGCCCCGCAGCGCUAGCCACUCGGCCCGGUCGGCGCCCGCAUGGCAUGCACUGCAAGGAUCAUCAUCAAUAAAUAGACAGCAGAUUCUUCCCGAUCCUCCUCAGCCGUCUCCCGUCCCAUCUUCCUGACGAGAGCUCCUGCGCGCUAGAUUUCCUGGCCAUGAUCCCACCUAAUUCUUGGCCGCAGCCUCCACCGGCCGUCGCCCCCUGCCCAGAUCAAGGAUCCGCACCCAGCUUGCUUGCCGCCCCACCCAACGCUCCGACCUCCAUCCCUAGCGCCGCCCCGACACCCCACUGCUUAUCCCAAGGAAGUACGGUGUGCGGAGUCCAGUUGCAACGCCCGACUCUCCUCCGCCUCCAAGCUCUACCGACCGCACUUCUACGAUCACCUGCUGUCUUCGAGGAGUUCGACUCGACGUCCUCGAGCCGGCACCCUCUCCACGGCAUCAUCCUGCUCUGAGCGAGAAAGGAGAUCCGAGUCCCUAUCAACACCACAUCUAGUACUAGCUAAGAUGAAGACUACACAGACGCUGCUCCUGAUGCUCGCCUUUUUCUUGCUAUCACCAGGGGCCAUAAUAAAGGUGUCGAGUUAUUGCGCAGGAGCAAUUAAACCGACGCCUUUACCGUGUGAUCGUCCAGGUUGCCUGUUCGUUUGUCGCCAGGCUCUCCAUAUUUGCCCUGAGUGCACUUGGACUGCUGAGUGCAGCCCCGAGGGAUGCAAGUGCAAUGUGUGUGGUCCUGGUGAAAAACGAAAAUGAGACUGUACUAGUAUCUUGUGAAUAUACUGUAGGACGGUGUGCGUGUUAUGAUAAUUAAAACGAUGUCGUAAUGGAUUGUAUGUAUUUGUAUGGCCUUCUUGGUCUUAUAUCAAGACCUUACAUC
This is a long non-coding RNA of Triticum aestivum (bread wheat), 965 nucleotides long. RefSeq lists it as uncharacterized. Lineage: Eukaryota; Viridiplantae; Streptophyta; Magnoliopsida; Poales; Poaceae. The transcript is spliced from 3 exons. The record is from RefSeq and is a predicted model, not a curated record.